UUGUAAUCUGUGAAGGUAUAUAAACAAUUUCCUGAGGCAUGAAGAAUCAGUUCUACCGAGUAAUCAACUCUGUUCAGUACGAGAUAAAAUAAACAAAAUGCCACCCACACCUGGCCAAACUUCUGGAAAGCCGCCAACUGUAGCUGGUGUUGCUGGACUCGCUGCUGGUAGUGCUGUGGCCGGAGUUAUUGGAUCUCUUGUCGGGUGGGCUUCGGGCCAGGGUGGAAAAAAUAAGUAGUUAUUUACUGUUCUUGCAGCAUUAUGAUGAUUGUAUGAAAUAAAAAAUAGGAAUAAA
Molecule: long non-coding RNA, 295 nt
Organism: Cydia pomonella (codling moth)
Lineage: Eukaryota; Metazoa; Arthropoda; Insecta; Lepidoptera; Tortricidae
Exons: 2
Source: RefSeq, a predicted model, not a curated record